CAUCCAGACUCCUACGGGAGGCAGCAGUGGGGAAUAUUGCACAAUGGGGGGAACCCUGAUGCAGCGACGCCGCGUGAGUGAAGAAGUAUUUCGGUCUGUAAAGCUCUAUCAGCAGGGAAGAAAAUGACGGUACCUGACUAAGAAGCCCCGGCUAACUACGUGCCAGCAGCCGCGGUAAUACGUAGGGGGCAAGCGUUAUCCGGAUUUACUGGGUGUAAAGGGAGCGUAGACGGCAGAGCAAGUCUGAAGUGAAAGCCCGCGGCCCAACUGCGGGAUUGCUUUGGAAACUGCCCGGCUAGAGUGCUGGAGAGGUAAGCGGAAUUCCUUGUGUAGCGGUGAAAUGCGUAGAUAUAAGGAAGAACACCAGUGGCGAAGGCGGAUGACUGGACGGCAACUGACGGUGAGGCGCGAAAGCGUGGGGAGCAAACAGGAUUAGAUACCCUAGUACA
RNAcentral lists this ribosomal RNA (449 nucleotides) under uncultured bacterium. RNAcentral describes it as "bacterial SSU rRNA". It matches the Rfam family "Bacterial small subunit ribosomal RNA", at positions 328 to 794 of the family's 1533-position model. The record is from RNAcentral.